RNAcentral lists this ribosomal RNA (501 nucleotides) under uncultured Glomus. RNAcentral describes it as "SSU rRNA". It matches the Rfam family "Eukaryotic small subunit ribosomal RNA", at positions 569 to 1075 of the family's 1831-position model. Lineage: Eukaryota; Fungi; Glomeromycota; Glomeromycetes; Glomerales; Glomeraceae. The record is from RNAcentral.
UGCAGCCGCGGUAAUUCCAGCUCCAAUAGCGUAUAUUAAAGUUGUUGCAGUUAAAAAGCUCGUAGUUGAAUUUCGAGAUCAAUUUGUUGGUCGCGCCUCGGUACGUACUGGCAAUUUUGAUUUCUCCCUUCUGAAGAACCAUGAUGUCAUUAAUUUGGUGUCAUGGGGAAUCAGGACCGUUACUUUGAAAAAAUUAGAGUGUUUAAAGCAGGCUCGCGCUUGAAUACAUUAGCAUGGAAUAAUGAAAUAGGACGUUUGAUUCUAUUUUGUUGGUUUCUAGGAUCGACGUAAUGAUUAAUAGGGAUAGUUGGGGGCAUUAGUAUUCAAUUGUCAGAGGUGAAAUUCUUGGAUUUAUUGAAGACUAACUACUGCGAAAGCAUUUGCCAAGGAUGUUUUCAUUAAUCAAGAACGAAAGUUAGGGGAUCGAAGACGAUCAGAUACCGUCGUAGUCUUAACCAUAAACUAUGCCGACUAGGGAUCGGAUGAUGUUAAUUUUUUAAU